Long non-coding RNA from Melopsittacus undulatus (budgerigar), 1221 nucleotides. RefSeq lists it as uncharacterized. The transcript has 5 exons. The record is from RefSeq and is a predicted model, not a curated record. NCBI's taxonomy places the organism in Eukaryota, Metazoa, Chordata, Aves, Psittaciformes, Psittaculidae.
GUAUUUCCCUCCAGCAAUUGUCUCCUUCUUCCCCACCUUCCUCAGGUAUUUGGUUUAGGUACCAAACAUCUGACUCAGGUCUUCCUGGAGAACGGCUGAACAGGGGUGGAUGUAAGAAGGAAUCAUUUUUCCUUGAAGGGAAUUUUUAAAAAGCCAUUGACCUUGUCUGCAAGACAUUUUCACCUACUGUGUUCAUUGCUGCUGGAUGAGAUUUUCAAAGCCAUGCCAAGGGUGUAUGUAGCUACAUAUCUUCUGUGAAAAUGAAUGGAAUACAUCCAUCUGGCGCUUCUUUCCAAGUUUCAGCCACGGAUCCUCUCCUCCCUUCUUCAUCAGGGAAAAAGGCUUGUCGCCCACUUUGCCACCGCGUGGGGGACUUUAGCAGUACAAAUCAAGGGAAGGAUGGCCUGGAGCAGCCUGAAACACAGCAUUGCAAGGAGAAGGGUCAGUGAAAUCUGAGGAGGAAAAGGCUCAAGCAUACAGCUAAGAUGAGCUCAGAGGCAGAUAUCAUUAGAGAUCCCUGUAGCAGAUCAAGAAGAAAGGAUCCUGAAAUUUCUGUCAUUGUUUGAUGAAGCACAGAAAUGUGCCACUCCCACAGCAGACCAUGACAUCAGUGGAAUCAAAGGAAGGUGUAAAUGAAAGUCCAUCGGAUCUUCCAUCUGAACUGAGCAAGAACCUGGAAAUAAAUCCUUUACAUGGAGGGAACUUCUGGAAGCAUUCACUGGCAACCUCCUGGAAAAUUAGGAAAGCUUUCUUUUGGAAAUACUGCACUGAGCUCAAAUAGUGUUUAAACUUCAAGCUGAUGGGUCAUGCUGAAGGCUAAGUGCUGAAGCUGACAAAGAAACCUUACAACAUUGAAGAGUUUUCUACACAAGUGGUUGAAGAGCGAUUAAUAAAGUAACUGUCUGACCAUAUUUGUCUUGUGGAUAACAGAUGCUGAAAAAGGAUACGCAAAAAAUGAUGUUUAAAAUUGCAAUAACAAUUUUUUGUACAAGCAACACCACACAGAAGGCUACUUGUGCUAAUAAGCGUUUGGAAAUCAGUAGCUCUUUCUCCACAAACAUGACUUUAAAUAAUAGAACAUGAUCUCUGCCCUGGCAUGGGAUCAAACACUACAAAUCUGUGUCUAGAUAUUACAUCUUGCUGCGUGUCAAGGCCACCUAGACAGCUGGUGAUUCUGUUAACACCAUAACUCGCUUUCUCUUUCAUCUCAUCUAAUUUGUU